GCCAAUGCGGCUCUCCGCUCUUCCGCUCUUGAGUCUCAACGGCAGGAAGUAGAUAGUGGCCCUAGGAGCCACGAGAGGGCGCGCACUGGAGGGGGGCCUUGUUGCUGCCUCUUGAGGGCGGCCGGCCAGUGUGUUGCUAAUGUUAGAAGGAGUUCCCAGUUGAGUUAGGAGCUCAUCUCCUGUCAAUCUCUUCGGAGGACUUGGGAGUCAGCCUGGGGACAGGAGCUGAAGUCAUGACGAAUUAACUGUAGUGUUCUGAGUUUUUGGACUACACUUGUUUUAUGUUUCACCUGCCGUAGAUUUUGUGCGUGGGUUGACUCGUGAACCAAGAUAAACGUUGAAAAGAUUUAAGAUGAGGAAAGCCACUUAAAUCCUUUCCAAAUAGUGAAGGGUACUGGGGCCCUUCUACCAUCCUCAACCAGGCAUAAACAGGUGAUAAAAUGAGACAAAGGAAGUUCCAUCAAAGAUGGAAGAUGUCAUCCGGCAAAGUCCUUCCUCCAGUCAGCCUCCUUGAAAGAUCAAAGUGGGUGCAACCAGGUUGCGUUCUCAACCUUUCUCAAAAAGUGUGCUUUGCCGCACACACUGCACACACUGCUCUUCCUUAGCCAGUCUCAUAAAAACGUGAGACCAGGCUCUGACUUCUCAGAGGAAGACACAAGACCCUUUAUGAAGAAUAAAACCCGGUAACACGACCACAUGACUUACCACAGUGCACCAUUUUGAAGAAUUAAAACUUUUGCCUGAUACCAGUUU
RNAcentral lists this long non-coding RNA (753 nucleotides) under Rattus norvegicus (Norway rat). RNAcentral describes it as "long non-coding RNA NONRATT012569". Lineage: Eukaryota; Metazoa; Chordata; Mammalia; Rodentia; Muridae. The record is from RNAcentral.